Molecule: ribosomal RNA, 449 nt
Filed under: uncultured bacterium
Lineage: Bacteria
Description: partial 16S ribosomal RNA
Rfam family: Bacterial small subunit ribosomal RNA
Source: RNAcentral
AAUGAACGCUGGCGGCAGGCCUAACACCUGCAAGUCGAACGGAUCCUUCGGGAUUAGUGGCGGACGGGUGAGUAACGCGUGGGAACAUUCCCAAAGGUACGGAAUAGCCCCGGGAAACUGGGAGUAAUACCGUAUGUGCUCGAAAGAGGAAAGAUUUAUCGCCUUUGGAUUGGCCCGCGUUGGAUUAGGUAGCUGGUGGGGUAUUGGCUUACCAAGCCGACGAUCCAUAGCUGGUUUGAGAGGUUGAUCAGCCACACUGGGACUGAGACACGGCCCAGACUCCUACGGAAGGCAGCAGUGGGGAAUCUUAGACAAUGGGGGAAACCCUGAUCUGUCCAUGCCGCGUGAUCGAUAAAGGCCUUACAGUUGUAAAGAUCUUUCAGGUGGGAAGAUAAUGACUGUACCACCAGAAGAAGCCCCGGCUAACUCCGUGCCAGCAGCCGCGGUAA